This 460-nucleotide ribosomal RNA is filed under the name uncultured bacterium. Its description in RNAcentral is "partial 16S ribosomal RNA". It matches the Rfam family "Bacterial small subunit ribosomal RNA", at positions 338 to 795 of the family's 1533-position model. The record is from RNAcentral.
CCUACGGGUGGCAGCAGUGAGGAAUAUUGGUCAAUGGACGCAAGUCUGAACCAGCCAUGCCGCGUGCAGGAAGACGGCUCUAUGAGUUGUAAACUGCUUUUGUACGAGGGUAAACGCAGAUACGCGUAUCUGUCUGAAAGUAUCGUACGAAUAAGGAUCGGCUAACUCCGUGCCAGCAGCCGCGGUAAUACGGAGGAUUCAAGCGUUAUCCGGAUUUAUUGGGUUUAAAGGGUGCGUAGGCGGUCGGAUAAGUUAGAGGUGAAAUCCCGAGGCUCAACUUCGGAAUUGCCUCUGAUACUGUAGGACUAGAGAUCGGAUGCAGCAGGCGGAAUGUGUAGUGUAGCGGUGAAAUGCAUAGAUAUUACACAGAACACCGAUUGCGAAGGCAGCUUGCUAGGCCGGAUCUGACACUGAUGCACGAAAGCGUGGGGAUCGAACAGGAUUAGAUACCCGUGUAGUC